RNAcentral lists this long non-coding RNA (475 nucleotides) under Ananas comosus (pineapple). RNAcentral describes it as "long non-coding RNA (ACOM_LNC010626)". The record is from RNAcentral. Lineage: Eukaryota; Viridiplantae; Streptophyta; Magnoliopsida; Poales; Bromeliaceae.
UUUCGACAUCAUUUGACUAGUGAUCAAAAGAUCUCAAAAUUGACAAUUUUAAUGGCCGAUGUGGUGUGUUUGAGAGUUUAACGAUAUAAAACAAUCCAAAUCUGAUGAAAAUUUUAUAGAAAAUUCUUUUAACUAUUUAGAGUAAGAUCAGUAUAUAUGAUCUUGAAUUUAAAUCUUUUAUCAUUAUUUUUUAUGAGAUUUUUAUUUUCAGCCGUUUAAUUUUAGACUACUUGUUUGAUAUGUAAAUGAUAUCGAAAAAUUAUGAAAUUUAGUUUAUAAAUACUUUUAAUAGUGUAGAUCAAGUCUAACGGAGCUGAUCGUCGAUUUGGAAGCCACAUUAUCAAAAACAACUUGGUAGCACGGAGCGCUCCGUGCUACCGAUAGUAUAGUAGCCUAGCUCUAUAUAUAUAUUUCAAAUUACGAUAAUCAAUUAUUAGGAUUGAAGAAUAGAAUAAGUAUAUCUUCAAUUUUUAUC